UAUUUGCAUCCGUAUUGAGGUUGUUGUUUUGUUUUUUCAAAACGACAUUAAAAGGGAAUUAGGUAAAAAUUUUGAGUUUUGAAUAGCGACGGUUUAGAUUGUAACACAUCUGAGGUCGCGGCUUUAAAAUCUAAAAUAAUAAAUCCUAAGCUGUACCCGCAACUGUAAGCUAUUUAGCUUGUUGUUAUCUACAAAACCACUGUUCGCCAAGGGGAAUGGGAAGGUAAACAACAAGACGCAAGCCAGGAGACCUGCCUAUUACAUCGAGUAUCA
RNAcentral lists this non-coding RNA (273 nucleotides) under Flavobacterium fryxellicola. The record is from RNAcentral. Lineage: Bacteria; Pseudomonadati; Bacteroidota; Flavobacteriia; Flavobacteriales; Flavobacteriaceae.